This 56-nucleotide transfer RNA is filed under the name Coniophanes fissidens. RNAcentral's name for it is "tRNA-Ser". Lineage: Eukaryota; Metazoa; Chordata; Lepidosauria; Squamata; Dipsadidae. The record is from RNAcentral.
GAGGGUGCCACAAGACCUGCUAACUCUUUAAUCUGGGAAUAACCCCCAGCUCCCUC